CCUACGGGUGGCAGCAGUGGGGAAUAUUGCACAAUGGGGGAAACCCUGAUGCAGCGACGCCGCGUGAGCGAUGAAGGAUUGCGGUAUGGAAAGCUCUAGCAGCAGGGAAGAAAAUGACGGUAACUGACUAAGAAGCCCCGGCUAACGACGUGCCAGCAGCCGCGGUAAUACGUAGGGGGCAAACGUUAUCCGGAUUUACUGGGUGUACAGGGAGCGUAGACGGUCCUGCAAGCCAGAUGGGAAAGCCCGGGGCGCAACCCCGGGACUGCCUUUGGAACUGUAAGGCUAGAGUGUCGGAGAGGCCGUCGGCAUUCCUCGUGUAGCGGUGACAUGCGUAGCUCUUAGGAGGACCUCCCGUGUCGACGGCGGCCUGCUGGACGAUGACUGACGUUGAGGCUC
Molecule: ribosomal RNA, 399 nt
Filed under: uncultured bacterium
Lineage: Bacteria
Description: partial 16S ribosomal RNA
Rfam family: Bacterial small subunit ribosomal RNA
Source: RNAcentral